Molecule: ribosomal RNA, 491 nt
Filed under: uncultured bacterium
Lineage: Bacteria
Description: partial 16S ribosomal RNA
Rfam family: Bacterial small subunit ribosomal RNA
Source: RNAcentral
AGUGAACGCUGGCGGUAGGCCUAACACAUGCAAGUCGAACGGCAGCACAGUAAGAGCUUGCUCUUACGGGGGGCGAGUGGCGGACGGGUGAGGAAUACAUCGGAAUCUACUUUUUCGUGGGGGAUAACGUAGGGAAACUUACGCUAAUACCGCAUACGACCUACGGGGGAAAGCAGGGGAUCUUCGGACCUUGCGUGAUUGAAUGAGCCGAUGGCGGAUUAGUUAGUUGGCGGGGUAAAGGCCCACCAAGGCGACGAUCCGUAGCGGGUCUGAGAGGAGGAUCAGUCACACUGAAACUGAGCAACGGCCCAGACCCCUAGGGACGGCACAGGGGGGAAUUAUUGAAAAAGGGGCGAAAGCUUGACCCACCCAUGCGGGUUGGUUGAAGAAGGCCUUCGGUUUGGAAAGCCUUUUGUUGUGGAAGAAAAGGCAGCGGGUUAAAACCCGGCUUUUUGACGGUAACCAACAGAUAAGCCACCGCUAACCUCCUG